UUGUCGAAUUCCUGCAAAAGCAGUCCGCGAACACGUUAAACCACAUUGGGAUCGCGGGUCUCGGGGAGACCUUUGGCCCUCGCCCAUCUCCCGCACGUCGUGCGUCUCGGCGCGCGUGGUGCGGGCUAACGAACCCCGGCGCGGCAUGCGCCAAGGAAAACUCAUGGAAGUGUCUGCCUCCCGUCGCCCCGUUCGCGGUGCGCGGUGGGGGAACGGACGUCUCUUCAAUGUCAUAACGACUCUCGGCAACGGAUAUCUCGGCUCUCGCAUCGAUGAAGAACGUAGCGAAAUGCGAUACUUGGUGUGAAUUGCAGAAUCCCGUGAACCAUCGAGUCUUUGAACGCAAGUUGCGCCCGAAGCCAAUCGGCCGAAGGCACGUCUGCCUGGGCGUCACGCAUCGCGUCGCCUCACCGCACCACACCCCACGGGAUGAUCGGGUGGUGGGGCGGAAAUUGGCUCCCCGUGCGCGAAGCCGCGCGGCCAGCCUAAAUGCGAACCCGUGCCGACUCUCGUCACGACCAGUGGUGGUUGAACCCUCAACUCUCGUGCUGUCGUGCCGUUUUGAGUUGUCUGUCGGGCUUCGUCCAGACCCAUCGGCGCGAUUCUAUCGCACCUUCGACCGCGACCCCA
RNAcentral lists this ribosomal RNA (630 nucleotides) under Pedicularis batangensis. RNAcentral's name for it is "eukaryotic LSU rRNA". The stretch from base 238 to 393 matches the Rfam family "5.8S ribosomal RNA". The record is from RNAcentral. Lineage: Eukaryota; Viridiplantae; Streptophyta; Magnoliopsida; Lamiales; Orobanchaceae.